AACGCUAGCUACAGGCUUAACACAUGCAAGUCGAGGGGCAGCAUGGUCUUAGCUUGCUAAGGCUGAUGGCGACCGGCGCACGGGUGAGUAACACGUAUCCAACCUGCCGUCUACUCUUGGCCAGCCUUCUGAAAGGAAGAUUAAUCCAGGAUGGGAUCAUGAGUUCACAUGUCCGCAUGAUUAAAGGUAUUUUCCGGUAGACGAUGGGGAUGCGUUCCAUUAGAUAGUAGGCGGGGUAACGGCCCACCUAGUCAACGAUGGAUAGGGGUUCUGAGAGGAAGGUCCCCCACAUUGGAACUGAGACACGGUCCAAACUCCUACGGGAGGCAGCAGUGAGGAAUAUUGGUCAAUGGGCGAUGGCCUGAACCAGCCAAGUAGCGUGAAGGAUGACUGCCCUAUGGGUUGUAAACUUCUUUUAUAAAGGAAUAAAGUCGGGUAUGCAUACCCGUUUGCAUGUACUUUAUGAAUAAGGAUCGGCUAACUCCGUGCCAGCAGCCGCGGUAAUACGGAGGAUCCGAGCGUUAUCCGGAUUUAUUGGGUUUAAAGGGAGCGUAGAUGGAUGUUUAAGUCAGUUGUGAAAGUUUGCGGCUCAACCGUAAAAUUGCAGUUGAUACUGGAUGUCUUGAGUGCAGUUGAGGCAAGCGGAAUUCGUGGUGUAGCGGUGAAAUGCUUAGAUAUCACGAAGAACUCCGAUUG
Molecule: ribosomal RNA, 696 nt
Filed under: uncultured Bacteroidales bacterium
Lineage: Bacteria; Pseudomonadati; Bacteroidota; Bacteroidia; Bacteroidales
Description: bacterial SSU rRNA
Rfam family: Bacterial small subunit ribosomal RNA
Source: RNAcentral